CCUACGGGUGGCCGCAGUGAGGAAUAUUGGUCAAUGGGCGGAAGCCUGAACCAGCCAAGUCGCGUGAGGGAAUAAGGCCCUACGGGUCGUAAACCUCUUUUGCCGGGGCGCAAGGGCGGGGACGUGUCCCGGCCCGGAGAGUACCCGGAGAAACAGCAUCGGCUAACUCCGUGCCAGCAGCCGCGGUAAUACGGAGGAUGCGAGCGUUAUCCGGAUUUAUUGGGUUUAAAGUGUGCGUAGGCGGGCUUUUAAGUCAGCGGUAAAAAUUCGGGGCUCAAACCCGUCCGGCCGUUGAAACUGGGGGCCUUGAGGGGGCGAGAAGAAGGCGGAAGGCGUGGUGUAGCGGUGAAAUGCGUAGAUAUUAGGAGGAACACCAGUGGCGAAGGCGGCUUACUGGACUGUAACUGACGUUGAGGCUCGAAAGCGUGGGGAGCAAACAGGAUUAGAUACCCCUGUAGUC
This 460-nucleotide ribosomal RNA is filed under the name uncultured bacterium. RNAcentral's name for it is "partial 16S ribosomal RNA". It matches the Rfam family "Bacterial small subunit ribosomal RNA", at positions 338 to 795 of the family's 1533-position model. The record is from RNAcentral.